Onthophagus taurus is the source of this 818-nucleotide non-coding RNA. Lineage: Eukaryota; Metazoa; Arthropoda; Insecta; Coleoptera; Scarabaeidae. The record is from RefSeq and is a predicted model, not a curated record.
UUCAACCAAUCACGUGCAAGGUCAAUCUGGUGACAAAUUUAAAAUACUCCUCCUGGUUUAAAAACAGAGUAUAGCAAAAUAUAUUUAGUAUACCUAUUAAACACACGACCUGGCGUAGUUACGAGCUACAAGUCCAUUCUUUUGUAUCGUAAAUGAAAGAUAUCAUCGUCAAAUAGGCACCGCUAUAAAAUUUGCUGCUGACUAUAUUUAGUUCCAACAUUACGAUUAUUACUGAUAGUACUAUAUCUGUUUUAGCUCUAAUUAUAAGUAGAGAAAAGAUCACCUCCGUAAUAGUAAUGGAUCGCCAUCUAACGCUUGAGGACGCGGCAACACUCAACUGUGAUACAUUCCAGUGAUUAUAGGAAAUUUUGACAUACCUAUGAAAUAAGCACUUCUAUUCAUUUGAUUCUCUAGUGUCUUAUAUUGAUAUAAUCAAAAAUCUAUUAUGCAUGAAAUAUUUAGAUUGGUGGGAGAGAAUUACAAAUUACCAACCAGUUAUGAAGUUAUUCAACAGAGGAGGCAGCUCAGUAAAUUAGGCUAAGAUCAUAAAAAUUAUUUCCCAUAACACCAUGUUCUUCAGCAUACAUACCAGUAGAUAUUGUAAAAUGAUUUGGAAACGUUUUCGUUGGAAAAACAUUAUACAUAUAGUCAGCAUAUGUUCCCUCUCGUUGCAACUUUACCAAUGUUGGUGUAGAAGCUUUAUUUAUGUAAUCAUAUCGAAAUCCAUCGUAUGAAACUAUUAAUAAUAUUGGCUUAUUAGAAUAUGUAUAGGCGAAUUGUAUAAAAACGCAUUGUAGAAAUAUAUUAAGUAACAUUAC